This is a long non-coding RNA of Acanthopagrus latus (yellowfin seabream), 476 nucleotides long. RefSeq lists it as uncharacterized. The record is from RefSeq and is a predicted model, not a curated record. Lineage: Eukaryota; Metazoa; Chordata; Actinopteri; Spariformes; Sparidae. The transcript has 3 exons.
UUCAGUCCGCCAUUGCUCCGCGCGCCUUCUCCAUUGCGCAGCAGUUAAUUACUUCGCAGUAAAACCGCGAUCCUGUUCCAAUGGCGGCAGCUCACGUAGCAUUAUGGAGAUGCUAACCCGGGACUUCCUUUUGUUUUUAUCGCUUUGUGUGACAAUUUGUGGCGUCAGGUGCGAAGUGUUUUCCCUAAAGACGAAGGCCUCUUUUCAGAAAAGGAUUUAUUUGCUAGCUGAGAGGAGCCUCCUUCAACAAGGGGUUAGAAGAAGGAUGACGGGAAACAUGGGAAGAGAAAGAGGAAUGAGAUGCAAAGAAGGGGAAACCAGGUUGAAAAAUCUCUCUGAUGAAGAAAGCAACGUGAUUCUCCACCAGCUGUUUGAGCUGACACACAGCAUCCUGAGACUCGGCCAGUCUGGAGGUCAGCGUCUGGUUCUCCUUCUCCCUCGACAUCACCAGCUCCUGCAGGGCCUCCCGCUCAGCA